This is a non-coding RNA of Pelodiscus sinensis (Chinese soft-shelled turtle), 2747 nucleotides long. NCBI's taxonomy places the organism in Eukaryota, Metazoa, Chordata, Testudines, Trionychidae. The record is from RefSeq and is a predicted model, not a curated record.
AUUUCAUACAUAGUGUUGAGAGAAUGAUGGCUUGAUAGACAAGAUGUUUGGUGUCUGUUCAAAUAUCAUGAUCUUCAAAAACCCUGUGCCGUAAACGAGCAAAGGCUGCACUGGCACAGCUCAGACGAUGUUGGAUUUCUACAUCAAUAUCUGCCCUUGAUGACAGAUAACUUCUGAAGUAGAGAAAAUGAUCGACGUUCUCCAGUGCCUCUCCAUUGAUUUUAAAAGAUGGGGCGCAUUGUACCUCAUUUGGAGAGGGCUGAUGGAGCACUUUGAUUUUCUUGAUGUUGAGAGUGAGACCAAGACGUACAUAAGCAUCAGCAAACACAUUCAAGAGAGCCUGAAGAUCUUUCUCAGAGUGGGCAAAAACUGCAUUGUCAUCAGCAUACUGAAGUUCCAUGAUAGAUGUGGUGGAAAUCUUACUCUUAGUUUUCAGCCUGCUAAGCCCAAACAGCUUUCUAGCCAUUCUGACGAUGAUUUCAAUGCCAGCGGGGAGGUUCCCAGCAAUUAAGUGGAAAAUGGCUGCAAUAAAGACUUCAAAGAUGGUUGCACUGAUGAUACAGUCCUGUUUGACUCCUUUUUGUACUUUGAAAGGUACAAAGGAGCCAGUGCUGGGAGCCUGUGCUGCUCCGAACAGUCGCUUUUAUGUUGUCAUGAAGCAACUUUAGGACACUGAUGUAUUUAUCAGGACAUCCAAUCUUUGAAAGUACCGUCCAAAGGGCACAGCAAUUCACUAAGUCAAAGGCUUUAGUUAGAUCAAUAAAAGCCAUGUAGAGUGGUCAGUUUUGCUCCCGACUUCUCUUGCAAUUGCUGUGCAAUGAAGAUCAUAUCAUAUCCUAUGAUUUCUGAACACAAGGACUAGUUGGCUGUUAGUACUGCAAGCCCCACAGACAUUCCAAAGUAGGGAGGGCAGGGACGGAGCCAAAGACUGGUCCCUCACUUCACGCUAGCUGACAGACUGAAACUGACUCUGGGGAAGAGUGGGGAAAACACACAACCAGAUCUGGCUAGAAAAGGGGAUUUAUUCAUGUCGAGAAAAUUGAUUAAAAAAAAAGAACAUAUCUGCAGUUUGGAUUUUUGUUUAUUUGAUGAAAAGGCGACAUGCUCUGUGGACAGUAGCCACUAUCCAGACAAAUGUUCGAUUUAUCCAAAAUCCAUUUUUUUUUUGCAGAAAAACAGUUCUGACCGUCCAUUUUCUAUCAAUCCUUUAAGCAACACAUUCAAAAGGGCCACUUCCGAAUAUACUUCCCUAAGUGACAGUGGAAAGAGUCUGCCUAUAUCCUUUUCAGGCAGUGCCUUCUGGAACGAUCACUGGAAGUCUCUUCUUGCACUUUCCUUACAUGUGGUCUGACUGAUUAUAAAAGCCAGAAUACUGCCCUGAGUUUCCCUGUAAAACAAACAAGAUAUAUUCCAAGAGUCCUCACAUGGCAGAGGAAUGCCAACAAAACCACCGUAUUUGCAAUAAUAACUUUCCUGUUAUGUAUAAUAACGACAGUAAUAUGAUGCAUUAUGUUGAGCUAUGCUAUACAGCCGCUAUAACUGUUAGUAUCCACAAUAAACAAAGAGCUAGUGUCUGUGCAGAGAAGGAGGCCAAUUCAUAACAAAGUUGCAUGCACCACUAACAUAGAGGUUUUGUGCACUUUACUAUGGGGUAGGUUGGACAUAGCAUGUGGGAUUUUGAGCCCACGGAAAUUCGAUCAGUUCCACCAAACUUCCAGCAGAACCUGGUUUUCAAUUUUGUUCCGAUAAAGACAUGGUUUCUUUAAGAGUAACUGGUAAUAGGCAGCUUGAAUGAUUAUCUUGUUGUUCUACUAACCUCUGAGAUUAUAGUAGAUGACACAGUCUAUAGGGGUAUGGGAGGCUAUGCAGGAGGUGUAUUCAGUAAAGAUACUAGAAAGCAAUGCAAGACAGGAAAAAUGUCUUACAUGUGGCUGGUAUGCAGGCAUGGAGCAGAGAUACCAAAAGAUGAGAGACAUGAAGGCCUGGAGAGAAAUGGUCCUGCAUGGUCUAGGAAGAACUACAAAUCUGAGGGAAGAAGACUUCCAGACACCUAUGGGCCAGAAUGGAUCUCUGACCUGAACAGAAAGGAGUUAUCAUUAAAGAGUUGCACUUUCGUAGCAUGAUUACAUUUUCACAUGCACUUCAAAAAAGACCACUCAUUAGAAGUCAACUUUACCAUGUAUUACAUAUCCACCUAUCACACAAACGCAACCUUAACCACACCCACCCACGCUGUCGGUGAGUGCCAGCAGAAGCCAGAACACUCCUGCCAUACACAAUAUGUUAUCUCCACAGGCCUAUAGUCUCAACCACGUUGGGCUGCUUUAAUACCGGGACAUCUGAUCACUGUACCUCUAAGGCUUUGUCUACAUUGCAGGGUUUUUAUGCAAGAAGCCUUUUGUGGAAGAGUUCUUGCACAACAGUGUGCCCAGACCUCAAGGCGCAUCACAAAAGUGAUGGGCUUUUGCACAAGAGAGCAUCCACACUGCAUGGACACUCUUGCACAAGAAAGUGCCAGGUUUGAGAUUAGAUCCCAUCUCUUUACCAGUUACAAACAACAUCUUAGGUCACUAACAUUCAAGACCUUGGAAUGUGGCACGUUGCCACCAUACAACCAACUGUAUAGGUGUUUUUUGUUGUGGUGUGCCAUGCCACCUUGCACAAAAUAGAAUGGUUUAACACAAGGUAUUCAUUGCUUUUCUAAUGGAAAACCAGUGUCAUUGCUAUUAAAAUGCUGCAUGUCGUGA